GUAAACCUGAGAAACCCGAAAGGUCGAAGGAAGAAAUUCAUCGCGUUAUCGUUGCUGACGUUAAGUGUAUGGUAUGACAGUCAACACGUUUUUUAGCGCGUUUGAUUGCAUCUGUCAUUUUUCGAUUUGGCAACGAACGCGUGCACUUUUCUUCUGGUAGAACGUCGCGAUCCGUUGGGUGUCGGUCUACGAUUUGCAUUGGAGAUCAAAUGAUCCAUGCUUUUUGUGUGGAACCGUUUGAACUUGCAUCUCUUUCCGACCGACUCGCUUGACGGUAUACGAACGGUUUAGGGUCGCUUUAAAGCGUUCGACUCUGGGCAAGCGCGCCAGUUGUUUCGAUGAUUGGACUUUGUACUGAUCCCGUUCACUGGUGACUGUUGGCCUAGAUGUUCUCGAACCGACCCCGAAACAUCGAUUAAAAACCGAUCUGCGGCGCUAUAGCUUUGGGUACUUUCAGGACCCGUCUUGAAACACGGACCAAGGAGUCUAGCAUGUACGCAAGUCAUUGGGACUAGAUAAACCUAAAGGCAAAAUGAAAGUAAAGAUUUUCCUUGCGAGAAUCUAGGGAGGACGAGCGGUUUAUAUUUUUUAAUUGAAAACCACUUUGCACUCCCGGGGCGUCUCAUUCUCAUUGCGAGAAGAGGCGCACCAAGAGCGUACACGCUGGGACCCGAAAGAUGGUGAACUAUGCCUGGUCAGGAUGAAGUCAGGGGAAACCCUGAUGGAGGUCCGUAGCGAUUCUGACGUGCAAAUCGAUCGUCGGAACUGGGUAUAGGGGCGAAAGACUAAUCGAACCAUC
Molecule: ribosomal RNA, 799 nt
Filed under: Scolytoplatypus rugosus
Lineage: Eukaryota; Metazoa; Arthropoda; Insecta; Coleoptera; Curculionidae
Description: eukaryotic LSU rRNA
Rfam family: Eukaryotic large subunit ribosomal RNA
Source: RNAcentral